GAUGAACGCUGGCGGCGUGCCUAAUACAUGCAAGUCGAGCGAACAGAUGAGGAGCUUGCUCCUCUGACGUUAGCGGCGGACGGGUGAGUAACACGUGGAUAACCUACUUAUAAGACUUGGAGAACUUCGGGAAACCGGAGCUAAUACCGGAUAAUAUAUUGAACCGCAUGGUUCAAUAGUUAAAGACGGUUUUGCUGUCACUUAUAGACGGAUCCGCGCCGCAUUAGCUAGUUGGUAAGGUAACGGCUUACCAAGGCAACGAUGCUUAGCCGACCUGAGAGAGUGAUCGGCCACACUGGAACUGAGACACGGUCCAGACUCCUACGGGAGGCAGCAGUAGGGAAUCUUCCGCACUGGGCGAAAGCCUGCAGGAGCAACGCGGCGUGAGUGAUAAAGGUCUUCGGGUCGUAAAACUCUGUUGUUAGGGAAGAACAAAUGUGUAAGUAACUAUGCACGUCUUGACGGUACCUAAUCAGAAAGCCACGGCUAACUACGUG
RNAcentral lists this ribosomal RNA (497 nucleotides) under uncultured bacterium. Its description in RNAcentral is "partial 16S ribosomal RNA". It matches the Rfam family "Bacterial small subunit ribosomal RNA", at positions 28 to 507 of the family's 1533-position model. The record is from RNAcentral.